Molecule: long non-coding RNA, 1242 nt
Filed under: Homo sapiens (human)
Lineage: Eukaryota; Metazoa; Chordata; Mammalia; Primates; Hominidae
Description: HSALNT0193498
Source: RNAcentral
CUUUCCACCAGGGAAGACUGCAAAGGCCAGAGAUCAUUUUCACAACUAAAGGUCGUCAUCUGGGCAAAUGAACCACUCUGACUUGGAGAUUAGGGGCUCAGACAGCCGUGGAUGAGAGUCCAGCUCUACUACUUAUUAGCCUUGAUUAGACUGUGAGAGGGAUGGGAAAGACUGGUGCUUGGGGUGGCCAUCUGACCCCUGAUGGACAGGAGACCAGGACAAGCCCACUGGAUGAGCCGGAGGGGUCCAGGAGGAGGGAGUUGAGAGCUCCUGCUAGGGUUGACACAUUCUGGUAAGGAGUUCAUCUGCUGUCCACCAGUUGCCAUCUUUAGCGCCAAAGGAAUUGCGUCCUCCCACUUGGAUUGAAUGCAGAGCCGCAGCCAUCUAAAAGGAGGAUUUGGGGGGAGCAUGGAGUAGAAAAUGAGGAAGGGGCAGGAUAUGACAGGGGAGACAAUAAAAAGGUCAACACAGCUCCCACCUCGAAGCAGCUGCCAGUUUAUUACAUGAAGUGUCAGGCUGUGGACUGCAGGCAUGCCAUUUUGUCUUCAAGAACAGAAUUCCCGGGCACACGAAUGAUUCCAGGGUUCCUCCAGCACUUUGGUAUUACUUGAAAGCAAUCUUAAGGGAUCUAGAAUGAACCAACGCCCAAAAAGGAUCCCUUAGCAGCGGUGAUAUCAAAGAAACACUUUUGAAGAACUAAUUUUCCACCCAGAUUUCCCCAAUUUUAAAAGCAAUGGGCAAAGCCUUCUCCACUCCUAAACUUCCUGGAACUGUCUUUUGGCUAUAUCAGGCCCCUGAAGUUAGAGUCUUUGAAAGACUCCAAACUCCAAAUUCUAUGCUUUUAUUCUCAGGCUCCUCAUAAUUCUACAGCACACCAGACUGCUGACCACUCUCCGUACCACUUUUAAAUUAUUUCUUCCCACAGCUUUCUUAACAAUGAACCUUUGAAAUCUUUUUAGUUUUCCAUUUAUUUUGCUACCUUUCCUCUGUCCUAGCUCUAAAAUGAAGAUCCUCUAAGGUUCUACAGUUUACUUCUUGUAUUCUCCUUUGUAAGUCAUCUCCAAGACGAUGUCCAAAUCCAUCACCAUUAAAAUUAAUAGUUUCCUCACCCACAACACUUAAUAUUUUAAAAAAAAUACUUUUCAUUGUAUUAUAAUUACUUGAUACAUACAUAUUUGCUCUGUGAGUUCCUUAUUCAUCAUAUUAGUGCCUGACAAUAAAUGUGUGCUGGAUUGAGCUGAA